This is a long non-coding RNA of Cryptomeria japonica (Japanese cedar), 396 nucleotides long. RefSeq lists it as uncharacterized. The transcript is spliced from 3 exons. NCBI's taxonomy places the organism in Eukaryota, Viridiplantae, Streptophyta, Pinopsida, Cupressales, Cupressaceae. The record is from RefSeq and is a predicted model, not a curated record.
GAUAUGUUGAAUGCACCUGAUUCGCCCGCGGAUCAAGAGAGGGCGGAGAUAUGUAUCUCUACUUUAUUUUCUUGAUUUCAUGAGUAUAUGCACGCGUACAUGUGAACUUGUGAUAUAUUAUAAUCUUAUAAUUUUUUCAUACAGGAAAUAUCCAUACCUAUUUCGUCAAUGGCGAACCCUCCUCCUUGCACUGGAGAAGCAUCUCAGGAUCCGGUAAUAGCGACAGUUUCUACAUCGAUGGUGAGCCAUCCUCAGUCCAUUGGAGAAGCAUCUCAGGCACAGACUCCUUUGCGGUAUGGCCAUAACGUGGAUCCAUUUAAGUAUGUCUUCAAGAAAACUCCUAAGAGUGACAAGGAGAGGAGAGUGAAUAUAUUAGCUCCUGGAUCAGCCGAUGAG